UACGUAGGGUGCAAGCGUUAAUCGGAAUUACUGGGCGUAAAGCGUGCGCAGGCGGUUUUGCAAGACAGAUGUGAAAUCCCCCGGCUUAACCUGGGAACUGCAUUUGUGACUGCAAGGCUAGAGUGUGUCAGAGGGAGGUGGAAUUCCGCGUGUAGCAGUGAAAUGCGUAGAGAUGUGGAGGAACACCGAUGGCGAAGGCAGCCCCCUGGGCUAACACUGACGCUCAUGCACGAAAGCGUGGGGAGCAAACAGG
RNAcentral lists this ribosomal RNA (253 nucleotides) under uncultured bacterium. RNAcentral's name for it is "partial 16S ribosomal RNA". It matches the Rfam family "Bacterial small subunit ribosomal RNA", at positions 524 to 776 of the family's 1533-position model. The record is from RNAcentral.